Molecule: ribosomal RNA, 375 nt
Filed under: uncultured bacterium
Lineage: Bacteria
Description: bacterial SSU rRNA
Rfam family: Bacterial small subunit ribosomal RNA
Source: RNAcentral
GAUUGAACGCUGGCGGCAUGCCUUACACAUGCAAGUCGAACGGCAGCACGGGAGCAAUCCUGGUGGCGAGUGGCGAACGGGUGAGUAAUACAUCGGAACGUGCCCAGUAGUGGGGGAUAGCCCGGCGAAAGCCGGAUUAAUACCGCAUACGACCUGAGGGUGAAAGCGGGGGAUCGCAAGACCUCGCGCUAUUGGAGCGGCCGAUGUCAGAUUAGCUUAGNGGUGGGGUAAAGGCCUACCAAGGCUACGAUCUGUAGUUGGUCUGAGAGGACGACCAGCCACACUGGGACUGAGACACGGCCCAGACUCCGUACGGGAGGCAGCAGUGGGGAAUUUUGGACAUGGGGGCAACCCUGAUCCAGCAAUGCCGCGUGC